Molecule: ribosomal RNA, 530 nt
Filed under: uncultured bacterium
Lineage: Bacteria
Description: bacterial SSU rRNA
Rfam family: Bacterial small subunit ribosomal RNA
Source: RNAcentral
AAUAGAUACCCAGGUAGUCCACGCCCUAAACGAUGCUCACUAGGUGUUGGGGAAGCGAUUCCUUGGUACCGUAGCUAACGCGUGAAGUGAGCCGCCUGGGGAGUACGGCCGCAAGGUUAAAACUCAAAGGAAUUGACGGGGACCCGCACAAGCGGUGGAUGAUGUGGAUUAAUUCGAUGCAACGCGAACAACCUUACCUACCCUUGACAUGUCCGGAAGCCUGCUGAAAGGUGGGUGUGCUCGAAAGAGAACCGGAACACAGGUGCUGCAUGGCUGUCGUCAGCUCGUGUCGUGAGAUGUUGGGUUAAGUCCCGCAACGAGCGCAACCCUUGUCCCUAGUUGCUAAGCUGGGCACUUUGGAGAAACUGCCGGUGACAAGCCGGAGGAAGGUGGGGAUGACGUCAAGUCCUCAUGGCCCUUACGGGCUGGGCUACACACGUGCUACAAUGGCGGUGACAGUGGGAUGCGAAGGGGCGACCCGGAGCCGAUCCUGAAAAGCCGUCUCAGUUCGGAUUGCACUCUGCAACUCG